AAUCCAUAGGUUAAUGAGGCGAACCGGGGGAACUGAAACAUCUAAGUACCCCGAGGAAAAGAAAUCAACCGAGAUUCCCCCAGUAGCGGCGAGCGAACGGGGAGGAGCCCAGAGCCUGAAUCAGCAUGUGUGUUAGUGGAAGCGUCUGGAAAGGCGCGCGAUACAGGGUGACAGCCCCGUACACAAAAGCGCAUGUGCUGUGAGCUCGAUGAGUAGGGCGGGACACGUGGUAUCCUGUCUGAAUAUGGGGGGACCAUCCUCCAAGGCUAAAUACUCCUGACUGACCGAUAGUGAACCAGUACCGUGAGGGAAAGGCGAAAAGAACCCCGGCGAGGGGAGUGAAAAAGAACCUGAAACCGUGUACGUACAAGCAGUGGGAGCACCCUUUGGGGUGUGACUGCGUACCUU
This 408-nucleotide ribosomal RNA is filed under the name Salmonella enterica subsp. enterica serovar Hadar. RNAcentral's name for it is "partial 23S ribosomal RNA". It matches the Rfam family "Bacterial large subunit ribosomal RNA", at positions 161 to 607 of the family's 2925-position model. Lineage: Bacteria; Pseudomonadati; Pseudomonadota; Gammaproteobacteria; Enterobacterales; Enterobacteriaceae. The record is from RNAcentral.